RNAcentral lists this ribosomal RNA (305 nucleotides) under Klebsiella pneumoniae subsp. pneumoniae. RNAcentral describes it as "partial 16S ribosomal RNA". It matches the Rfam family "Bacterial small subunit ribosomal RNA", at positions 1 to 300 of the family's 1533-position model. The record is from RNAcentral. Lineage: Bacteria; Pseudomonadati; Pseudomonadota; Gammaproteobacteria; Enterobacterales; Enterobacteriaceae.
ACUUAAAUUGAAGAGUUUGAUCAUGGCUCAGAUUGAACGCUGGCGGCAGGCCUAACACAUGCAAGUCGAGCGGUAGCACAGAGAGCUUGCUCUCGGGUGACGAGCGGCGGACGGGUGAGUAAUGUCUGGGAAACUGCCUGAUGGAGGGGGAUAACUACUGGAAACGGUAGCUAAUACCGCAUAAUGUCGCAAGACCAAAGUGGGGGACCUUCGGGCCUCAUGCCAUCAGAUGUGCCCAGAUGGGAUUAGCUAGUAGGUGGGGUAACGGCUCACCUAGGCGACGAUCCCUAGCUGGUCUGAGAGGA